Molecule: ribosomal RNA, 512 nt
Filed under: uncultured Pseudomonadota bacterium
Lineage: Bacteria; Pseudomonadati; Pseudomonadota
Description: bacterial SSU rRNA
Rfam family: Bacterial small subunit ribosomal RNA
Source: RNAcentral
CCGCGUGUGUGAAGAAGGCCUUCGGGUUGUAAAGCACUUUCGGACGGAACGAAAUCGCGCGAUCUAACAAGUCGCGUGGAUGACGGUACCGUAAGAAGAAGCACCGGCUAACUACGUGCCAGCAGCCGCGGUAAUACGUAGGGUGCGAGCGUUAAUCGGAAUUACUGGGCGUAAAGUGUGCGCAGGCGGCAGAGCAAGUCGAGUGUGAAAGCCCCGGGCUUAACUUGGGAAAUUGCGCUCGAAACUACUUUGCUGGAGUGUGGCAGUAGGAAGGUGGAAUUCCAACGUGUAGCGGUGAAAUGCGUAGAGAUGUGGAGGAACACCAAUGGCGAAGGCAGCCUUCUGGGCCAACACUGACGCUCAUGCACGAAAGCGUGGGGAGCAAACAGGAUUAGAUACCCUGGUAGUCCACGCCCUAAACGAUGACGACUAGUUGUUGGGGGAGUUAAAUCCCUUAGUAACGCAGCUAACGCGCGAAGUCGUCCGCCUGGGGAGUACGGUACGCAAGAUUA